GUGAAUCAUCAAAUUUUUGAACGCAAAUUGCGCUUCCUGGCAUCCCGGGGAGUAUGCCUGUUUGAGGGUCGGUAGUAACAUAAAAUCGUGUUGGUUGCAAGUUGUGACGUUUCCGCAGUUUGGGCUAUCUUAACUUUUUUGGUUGAGAGGCUUAAAAUUGACCUUUUUUGCGCAUUUUUAGC
This 182-nucleotide unclassified non-coding RNA is filed under the name Glomeraceae sp. RNAcentral describes it as "partial contains 5.8S ribosomal RNA and internal transcribed spacer 2". The stretch from base 1 to 71 matches the Rfam family "5.8S ribosomal RNA", at positions 84 to 154 of the family's 154-position model. The record is from RNAcentral. Lineage: Eukaryota; Fungi; Glomeromycota; Glomeromycetes; Glomerales; Glomeraceae.